RNAcentral lists this ribosomal RNA (400 nucleotides) under uncultured bacterium. Its description in RNAcentral is "bacterial SSU rRNA". It matches the Rfam family "Bacterial small subunit ribosomal RNA", at positions 355 to 747 of the family's 1533-position model. The record is from RNAcentral.
UCGAGGAUCUUUCGCAAUGGGCGCAAGCCUGACGAAGCGACGCCGCGUGAACGAAGAAGGCCUUCGGGUUGUAAAGUUCUUUCGCCCGGGAACAAGAAAAUGGGAUGAAUAGUUCCAUGAUUUGAGUGUACUGGGUAAAGAAGCACCGGCUAACUCCGUGCCAGCAGCUGCGGUAAUACGGAGAGUGCAAGCGUUAAUCGGAUUUAUUGGGCGUAAAGGGGGCGUAGGCGUCUUAGAAAGUCAGAUGUGAAAUUCCGGGGCUUAACCUCGGAGCGGCAUGUGAAACUUCUAGGAUGGAGGAUAGGAAGGGAAAACGGAAUUCCACGUGUAGCGGUGAAAUGCGUAGAUAUGUGGAGGAACACCGGAGGCGAAGGCGGUUUUCUGUCCUAUUCCUGACGCU